This 472-nucleotide ribosomal RNA is filed under the name uncultured Anaplasma sp. RNAcentral describes it as "bacterial SSU rRNA". It matches the Rfam family "Bacterial small subunit ribosomal RNA", at positions 95 to 602 of the family's 1533-position model. Lineage: Bacteria; Pseudomonadati; Pseudomonadota; Alphaproteobacteria; Rickettsiales; Anaplasmataceae. The record is from RNAcentral.
GUGGCAGACGGGUGAGUAAUGCAUAGGAAUCUACCUAGUAGUAUGGGAUAGCCACUAGAAAUGGUGGGUAAUACUGUAUAAUCCCUGCGGGGGAAAGAUUUAUCGCUAUUAGAUGAGCCUAUGUUAGAUUAGCUAGUUGGUAGGGUAAAGGCCUACCAAGGCAGUGAUCUAUAGCUGGUCUGAGAGGAUGAUCAGCCACACUGGAACUGAGAUACGGUCCAGACUCCUACGGGAGGCAGCAGUGGGGAAUAUUGGACAAUGGGCGAAAGCCUGAUCCAGCUAUGCCGCGUGAGUGAGGAAGGCCUUAGGGUUGUAAAACUCUUUCAGUGGGGAAGAUAAUGACGGUACCCACAGAAGAAGUCCCGGCAAACUCCGUGCCAGCAGCCGCGGUAAUACGGAGGGGGCAAGCGUUGUUCGGAAUUAUUGGGCGUAAAGGGCAUGUAGGCGGUUCGGUAAGUUAAAGGUGAAAUGC